This 254-nucleotide ribosomal RNA is filed under the name uncultured bacterium. RNAcentral describes it as "partial 16S ribosomal RNA". It matches the Rfam family "Bacterial small subunit ribosomal RNA", at positions 524 to 776 of the family's 1533-position model. The record is from RNAcentral.
UACGUAGGGGGCGAGCGUUACCCGGAUUUACUGGGCGUAAAGCGCGUGUAGGCGGCUGGCCAAGCGUGGUGUGAAAUCUUCGGGCUUAACCCGAAAACUGCAUUGCGAACUGGUCUGGCUAGAGUGUGUGAGAGGGUAGUGGAAUUCCAGGUGUAGCGGUGAAAUGCGUAGAUAUCUGGAGGAACACCGGUGGCGAAGGCGGCGUCCUGGACCAACACUGACACUGAUGAGCGAAAGCCAGGGGGGCAAACGGG